Molecule: ribosomal RNA, 427 nt
Filed under: uncultured bacterium
Lineage: Bacteria
Description: bacterial SSU rRNA
Rfam family: Bacterial small subunit ribosomal RNA
Source: RNAcentral
UGGGGAAUUUUGGACAAUGGGCGCAAGCCUGAUCCAGCAAUGCCGCGUUCAGGAUGAAGGCCUUCGGGUUGUAAACUGCUUUUGUACGGAGCGAAAAGGUCUGCUCUAAUACGGUGGGCUCAUGACGGUACCGUAAGAAUAAGCAUCGGCUAACUACGUGCCAGCAGCCGCGGUAAUACGUAGGGUGUGAGCGUCAAUCUGAAUUACUGGGCGUAACGCGUGCGCAGGCGGUUAUAUAAGACAGAUGUGAAAUCCCCGAGAUCAACCUGGGAACUGCAUUUGUGACUGUAUAGCUAGAGUACGGUAGAGGGAGAUGGAAUUCAGCGUGUAGCAGUGAAAUGCGUAGAUAUGAGGAGGAACACAGAUGGCGAAGGCAGUCCCCUGGACCUGUACUGACGCUCAUGCACGAAAGCGUGGAGAGCAAGCA